RNAcentral lists this long non-coding RNA (336 nucleotides) under Mus pahari (shrew mouse). RNAcentral's name for it is "predicted gene 28744 (MGP_PahariEiJ_G0004108.1)". The record is from RNAcentral. Lineage: Eukaryota; Metazoa; Chordata; Mammalia; Rodentia; Muridae.
AAUCACACUAGUAAUCGCUUGCUUCCUGCAGAGCUCAGCAUGAUGAGGGAUCAGUGAACAGAAAAAUAAAUGUUCACUCAGCUUUCAAAUUCUGACGUUCAUUUUUGCAGGACUGGGGUCACUUCACCCUCAUAAACCUCAUGUGUUCAUCUUAUGGCCACAGGAAGUGACUUAUUACAUUGACAGUGAACGAGCUUAGGUUCUCAUUUUGCCACUGUCAGGAAUGCUUCAUGUGAACUGAAUAUCUUGAUCUGCUUCAGGAGGACAAUGCCUUCUCUAGAGUUUGUGGGGGGAGUAGUAAACCAUAUAAUUAGCAAAUUAAAACACAGAAGUCCA